This 913-nucleotide ribosomal RNA is filed under the name uncultured bacterium. RNAcentral's name for it is "bacterial SSU rRNA". It matches the Rfam family "Bacterial small subunit ribosomal RNA", at positions 8 to 916 of the family's 1533-position model. The record is from RNAcentral.
AGAGUUUGAUCUGCUCAGACGAUCGCUGCGGCCGUGCUAUACAUGCAGUAGAACGCUGAAAUAAGAGCUGCUCUAUGAUGAGUGCGAACGGGUGAGUACACGUGGGGAACUACGUUCUAGCGGGGGAUAACACAUAGAAAUGUGUGCUAAUACCGCAUAAUAGUAUUUGAUGCAUAUCAGAUACUUGAAAGGCGCAAUUGCGUCACUAGAAGAUGGCCCCGCGGUGCAUUAGCUAGUUGGUGAGGUAACGGCUCACCAAGGCAAUGAUGCAUAGCCGACCUGAGAGGGUGAUCGGCCACACUGGGACUGAGACACGGCCCAGACUCCUACGGGAGGCAGCAGUAGGGAAUCUUCGGCAAUGGACGCAAGUCUGACCGAGCAACGCCGCGUGAGUGAAGAAGGUUUUCGGAUCGUAAAACUCUGUUGUAAGAGAAGAACGUUGAUGAGAGUGGAAAGUUCAUCAAGUGACGGUAUCUUACCAGAAAGCCACGGCUAACUACGUGCCAGCAGCCGCGGUAAUACGUAGGUGGCAAGCGUUGUCCGGAUUUAUUGGGCGUAAAGCGAGCGCAGGCGGUUGAUUAAGUCUGAUGUGAAAGCCCCCGGCUCAACCGGGGAGGGUCAUUGGAAACUGGUCAACUUGAGUGCAGAAGAGGAGAGUGGAAUUCCAUGUGUAGCGGUGAAAUGCGUAGAUAUAUGGAGGAACACCAGUGGCGAAGGCGGCUCUCUGGUCUGUAACUGACGCUGAGGCUCGAAAGCGUGGGGAGCGAACAGGAUUAGAUACCCUGGUAGUCCACGCCGUAAACGAUGAGUGCUAAGUGUUGGAGGGUUUCCGCCCUUCAGUGCUGCAGCUAACGCAUUAAGCACUCCGCCUGGGGAGUACGACCGCAAGGUUGAAACUCAAAGGAAUUGACGG